AUACGGAGGGGGUUAGCGUUGUUCGGAAUUACUGGGCGUAAAGCGUACGUAGGCGGAUUGGAAAGUAUGGGGUGAAAUCCCAGGGCUCAACCCUGGAACUGCCUCAUAAACUCCCAGUCUAGAGUUCGAGAGAGGUGAGUGGAAUUCCGAGUGUAGAGGUGAAAUUCGUAGAUAUUCGGAGGAACACCAGUGGCGAAGGCGGCUCACUGGCUCGAUACUGACGCUGAGGUGCGAAAGCGUGGGGAGCAAACAGGAUUAGAAACCCUAGUAGUCC
RNAcentral lists this ribosomal RNA (274 nucleotides) under uncultured bacterium. RNAcentral describes it as "partial 16S ribosomal RNA". It matches the Rfam family "Bacterial small subunit ribosomal RNA", at positions 523 to 796 of the family's 1533-position model. The record is from RNAcentral.